CCUACGGGAGGCAGCAGUGGGGAAUAUUGCACAAUGGGGGAAACCCUGAUGCAGCGACGCCGCGUGAGCGAAGAAGUAUUUCGGUAUGUAAAGCUCUAUCAGCAGGGAAGAAAAAUGACGGUACCUGAGUAAGAAGCACCGGCUAAAUAUGUGCCAGCAGCCGCGGUAAUACGUAGGGGGCGAGCGUUAUCCGGAUUUACUGGGUGUAAAGGGGGCGCAGACGGCCAUGGCAAGCCCGUUGUGAAAGGUGCGGGCACAACCCGCAGACUGCACUGGUAACUGCCUGGCUGGAGUGCCGGAGGGGU
RNAcentral lists this ribosomal RNA (305 nucleotides) under uncultured bacterium. RNAcentral's name for it is "bacterial SSU rRNA". It matches the Rfam family "Bacterial small subunit ribosomal RNA", at positions 338 to 658 of the family's 1533-position model. The record is from RNAcentral.